UGGGGAAUAUUGGACAAUGGGCGCAAGCCUGAUCCAGCCAUGCCGCGUGUGUGAAGAAGGCCUUUGGUUGUAAAGCACUUUAAGCGAGGAGGAGGCUACUUGGAUUAAUACUCUAGGAUAGUGGACGUUACUCGCAGAAUAAGCACCGGCUAACUCUGUGCCAGCAGCCGCGGUAAUACAGAGGGUGCGAGCGUUAAUCGGAUUUACUGGGCGUAAAGCGUGCGUAGGCGGCUUCUUAAGUCGGAUGUGAAAUCCCUGAGCUUAACUUAGGAAUUGCAUUCGAUACUGGGAAGCUAGAGUAUGGGAGAGGAUGGUAGAAUUCCAGGUGUAGCGGUGAAAUGCGUAGAGAUCUGGAGGAAUACCGAUGGCGAAGGCAGCCAUCUGGCCUAAUACUGACGCUGAGGUACGAAAGCAUGGGGAGCAAACAG
RNAcentral lists this ribosomal RNA (428 nucleotides) under bacterium. Its description in RNAcentral is "partial 16S ribosomal RNA". It matches the Rfam family "Bacterial small subunit ribosomal RNA", at positions 355 to 775 of the family's 1533-position model. The record is from RNAcentral.